RNAcentral lists this long non-coding RNA (352 nucleotides) under Olea europaea (common olive). RNAcentral describes it as "long non-coding RNA (OEUR_LNC000514)". Lineage: Eukaryota; Viridiplantae; Streptophyta; Magnoliopsida; Lamiales; Oleaceae. The record is from RNAcentral.
ACGCAUUAAGUCGGAAUUAAACACGCAAAAGUUAAAAGAUAUCACUGAAUAAUUGACGAUUUUUGGCGCGUACAAAAUUCCAGCAGGCAGCUCGUUCUAUUUUCCGGCAAUCCGCUACAAUUUGUUGUCCGUUUCCUAAUUUUUUUAAUGUAUAUAAUUCCGGCAAGCAGCUCGUUUAUAUAUUCCAGCAAUCAGCUCGUUUAAUUUCCAGAAUUUUGCUUCUUUUCUCCAGAUUAGUCUUCCCCCAAAGCUGCCCAAUGUAUGUGUAUAUGGAAUUUAGCAGCAAGCAACGCAAUUAUGUCUAUGUAUUCAAUUCCAACACCAAAGCAGCCUCCUUUCUUUUCUUUUCUUU